GGCGAGUGAAGCGGGAAGAGCUCAGGUUGAAAAUCCCUCGGGAGUUGUAACCUGUAGGCCCAAUACUGCAGCUGACGCGGGUGCAAGUCCUCGUGAACGAGGCGCCGGAGAGGGUGAUAGCCCCGUACCGCCCGCGAACGCGUUACAGCAUGGUGCCGACGAGUCGGGAUGCUUGGGAAUGCAUCCCUAAGUGGGUGGUAAGUCCCAUCUAAAGCUAAAUACGGGCAAGAGACCGAUAGCGAACAA
This 246-nucleotide ribosomal RNA is filed under the name Symbiodinium sp. clade D. Its description in RNAcentral is "partial Eukaryotic large subunit ribosomal RNA". It matches the Rfam family "Eukaryotic large subunit ribosomal RNA", at positions 88 to 347 of the family's 3401-position model. The record is from RNAcentral. Lineage: Eukaryota; Dinophyceae; Suessiales; Symbiodiniaceae.